This 1345-nucleotide ribosomal RNA is filed under the name uncultured bacterium. Its description in RNAcentral is "bacterial SSU rRNA". It matches the Rfam family "Bacterial small subunit ribosomal RNA", at positions 28 to 1381 of the family's 1533-position model. The record is from RNAcentral.
GAUGAACGCUUGCGGGAGGCCUAACACAUGCAAGCCGAGCGGUAUUGUUUCUUCGGAAAUGAGAGAGCGGCGUACGGGUGCGGAACACGUGUGCAACCUGCCUUUAUCUGGGGGAUAGCCUUUCGAAAGGAAGAUUAAUACUCCAUAAUAUAUUGAUUGGCAUCAAUUAAUAUUGAAAGCUCCGGCGGAUAGAGAUGGGCACGCGCAAGAUUAGCUAGUUGGUGAGGUAACGGCUCACCAAGGCGAUGAUCUUUAGGGGGCCUGAGAGGGUGAUCCCCCACACUGGUACUGAGACACGGACCAGACUCCUACGGGAGGCAGCAGUGAGGAAUAUUGGUCAAUGGGUGCAAGCCUGAACCAGCCAUCCCGCGUGAAGGACGACUGCCCUAUGGGUUGUAAACUUCUUUUGUAUAGGGAUAAACCUACCCUCGUGAGGGCAGCUGAAGGUACUAUACGAAUAAGCACCGGCUAACUCCGUGCCAGCAGCCGCGGUAAUACGGAGGGUGCAAGCGUUAUCCGGAUUUAUUGGGUUUAAAGGGUCCGUAGGCGGACUUAUAAGUCAGUGGUGAAAGCCUGUCGCUUAACGAUAGAACUGCCAUUGAUACUGUAAGUCUUGAGUAUAUUUGAGGUAGCUGGAAUAAGUAGUGUAGCGGUGAAAUGCAUAGAUAUUACUUAGAACACCAAUUGCGAAGGCAGGUUACCAAGAUAUAACUGACGCUGAGGGACGAAAGCGUGGGGAGCGAACAGGAUUAGAUACCCUGGUAGUCCACGCCGUAAACGAUGCUAACUCGUUUUUGGGCUUUAGGGUUCAGAGACCAAGCGAAAGUGAUAAGUUAGCCACCUGGGGAGUACGCUCGCAAGAGUGAAACUCAAAGGAAUCGACGGGGGCCCGCACAAGCGGUGGAUUAUGUGGUUUAAUUCGAUGAUACGCGAGGAACCUUACCAAGACUCAAAUGGGAAUUGACAGCUUUAGAAAUAGAGCUUUCUUCGGACAAUUUUCAAGGUGCUGCAUGGUUGUCGUCAGCUCGUGCCGUGAGGUGUUAGGUUAAGUCCUGCAACGAGCGCAACCCCUGUCACUAGUUGCCAUCAUUCAGUUGGGGACUCUAGUGAGACUGCCUACGCAAGUAGAGAGGAAGGUGGGGAUGACGUCAAAUCAUCACGGCCCUUACGUCUUGGGCCACACACGUAAUACAAUGGCCGGUACAGAGGGCAGCUACACAGCGAUGUGAUGCAAAUCUCGAAAGCCGGUCUCAGUUCGGAUUGGAGUCUGCAACUCGACUCUAUGAAGCUGGAAUCGCUAGUAAUCGCGCAUCAGCCAUGGCGCGGUGAAUACGUUCCCGGGCCU